RNAcentral lists this long non-coding RNA (716 nucleotides) under Arabidopsis lyrata. Its description in RNAcentral is "long non-coding RNA (ALYR_LNC000854)". Lineage: Eukaryota; Viridiplantae; Streptophyta; Magnoliopsida; Brassicales; Brassicaceae. The record is from RNAcentral.
GAAGCUGGUCAAGCAGCUCUUCCUUUUCUUCAACAAGCUGGUGUGACUUGUGAAUUCAAGGUAUGAAAUAAUAACCAAAUCAAACCCUAACAAGCAGACAAUUCAAAUACCGAUCACAUGGAUCGUAGAUACCGAUUCUUGAGUAUGGAAAUCUGAAGAAAUUUCGUUUAUCUGCAGGCUUAUCCUGAUCUUGGACACUCAAUCAGUAAUAAGGAGCUGCAAUAUUUGGAGUUAUGGAUCAAACAACGGAUGCAGAGCUCUUCGUCUUCUUCUUAAAAUGGUAUUAAAAGGCAACAUUGUACUCAAGGUAAUACCAUCCUAUUGCCUACAAGAUUAGAAGAAAAAUGAUAACAUCAGCUCAUCUCUGGUCCAGUUUCUCUAUCAUGAAAGCCGGUUUUUGGUUUAAUCGUCUUGUUUGGUUAUGUAAACGGUUACUUUUGUUAACUACAAAACAUUUUGUUACUUUGCAUUGAUUUGAAAAAUUAUAUGUCAACACUAGAAUUCUUUUAUUUUAGUCAACAAAUCAAGUGACUACAUAACUCGAAUUGUGAUGUGUUCAAAAUGGAAAAUCUUUUAUCCAAAACAGUAAAAAUUCUUCUGACCAAAACAAAACUUGCAUACCAAUGCCAUCAUUAUAAUUUUUACAAAUUUCUGUGAAAUUGUGUUUAUGUAACUAUACAAAUUAUUUUUCGUAGAAAAGAAAACAAAAAAUCAUA